Molecule: long non-coding RNA, 1959 nt
Filed under: Olea europaea subsp. europaea
Lineage: Eukaryota; Viridiplantae; Streptophyta; Magnoliopsida; Lamiales; Oleaceae
Source: RNAcentral
UUUCAGACUUUGAAUGAGUGGAUGCAGAAAUUAAGUUCAGAUUACAUGCAAUAUGAGAUUCUAAGAGAAGCAUUUUUGAAACAUGUGGAACGUUGGGGAAAACUUGUUGAUGAGGAUGAUGGGAAUCCUAACUCUGCUCUCAUCAAAAUGUAAUUUUUGAUAUAUUGCAUGGUAUAUUUUCUAAUCAUAUCCGAUGGAGGAUCUCAUUGUGUACUUGUCUUUGCAGUCUAUUUCGUGAAACUGAUAAAGAUGGAGAUGGAUAUAUAACAGGGCCUGAAAUGCAAAAGUUGUUUAAUAAAAUCAUGCCAGGAAUGUCCGAAGAGACCAUAAAUAGAGCUGUUGAUAAAUCAAUGAAAUUAUUUGAUUCCGACAAGGAUGGUAAAAUCAACCAAACUGAAUUCACCAGAGCAUGUGUAACGUUAGCUGAAAAAGGUGAUUUCUUUUCAACAGAACUUCAAGACGAGGCAAGCUUCCUAAUUCACGCAAAUUUUAAAACUAUUGAUACUAAUGGAAGUAUCUUGUAGAAGUUUUAUCUGCAAGAUGUUGCUUCUAUAAAUGUAUUCAAAUCUCUAUCACAUUUUAGUAACUUCUCUUCCUAAUGUGCAUCAUAGCAAUUUUGAAAUUAAUUAUAAAUAUAUUCCUUAUUUGCGGUUGAUCUGCUGCAGAACUUUCAACAGUUUAGUCGUAUGGAGAAAGAGAAAUUGGAAAUUGAUCCAAUAAUGUCGAAAAUUCUAAAGCACGCUGAAAGCCAACUACUAGAAGGAUCGCUUAUCCAGGAAGAUGGGAAACCAAACAUUGAGAGAAUUAACACGUAAUUUAUCAUAAUUUAUCUUUUUGUUUUCUUAGUUUGACAGAAAUUUCUCACAAUCUUCUUUUUAUUCUGGCAGCCUCUUCAGAAAGUAUGACAAUGACAAUAACAACAAGAUAUCAAGAAAUGAAUUAGAGGAAAUAAUCAAUACAGUCCAAUUCGAAAAUUUGCACCCAAAAUCUGAGGAUGUGGUGAACAAAAUAUUUUUCAAUUUCGAUAAAGAUGGUAGUAAUAUGAUUGAAAAAGAAGAAUUUGUCAACGGAUUACAAAAUUGGCUUGGUAAAGCCGUUCGUGUUGCUAAAUGCUCUGAUAAGACUAAAAGUGUGGAUAAAUUUGACAGGGUGAGAAUGAAAUUGCUUUAACUUUUUACAGAACCUUUUUGUCACAUUUUGUAUAAAUUACUGAUUUCAUUGGAAAUUAACUAACUCAUUUUUCUUUUCCCUUGCAGAUUGUAUGGGAUAAAUUUGUUUACAGACAAUCUUACUGGAAUUUUGUAACAUGUGUAUUUAGAAUUGUGUUGGGUAUUGUUAUAUUGACCUUCAUUGGAGGACCUCUCACAACAAGUAUCCUACAGUUAUCAUAUGCCAUGAGUGUGCCUUCUUUCUCCAUCUCAUUUGUCAUAGUGCCAUUGGCAAUGAAUGCAAGAAUCUUAAUAGAAGCUAUCUUUCCAGUCAGUAAAAAGACUGAAAAAACUGCAUCUUUAACAUUCUCUGAGGUCCCUCUCUUCCUCCCUCUCUUACACACGCACACAAAUGCAAGCACACAAAUGCAAGCACUCAGCAUGCGCUCACGUAUACAUUAUAAUGGAGCAUUAACAAUGAAUUGUGAAGUACUCGUUGGUGAAACCUUUUUCAUUUGACUUGCAGAUUUAUAGUAGCGUCGUAAUGAACAACAUCUCAGGUUUGACAACACUAUUAGCAGUUGUAUACGCCAAGGACUUGCCAUGGGAUUAUUCUGCAGAAGUGCUAACUAUUUUGGUUGUCUGUGCUAUAGUAGGGAUUUUGGGAGUCUCACGUACCGAAUAUCCUUUUUGGACUUGCUUAUUAGCAUUUUUCCUCUAUCCAUUCUCCUUGGGGCUUUAUUGUUUUGUUGUACUUGUUCUUCACUGGAAUUAACCUGAUCAUGUUUCUUGGGUAUUUUACUCUUUUCUG